RNAcentral lists this unclassified non-coding RNA (301 nucleotides) under rhizosphere metagenome. RNAcentral describes it as "partial ribosomal RNA internal transcribed spacer region". The record is from RNAcentral.
GUAGGUGAACCUGCGGAAGGAUCAUUAACACUUUUUAUUUUUUUAUUUUUUUUGGGGAACUUUUUCCACAGAAAAAAAAUAAAAAUAAUACACCCCUCAUUCUAAUGAAUUUCUAGAUGAUCGAGGAUUUUAUUUUUUUAUAAAAUAAAUUAUAAAAUCUUUCCUGAUCAUUUUUUUUUCAACAACCAAAAAAUUUUAACCCCAAAACUUUUUCUAAAAAUUAUUUAAAAACUAACAUAUUAUUUUGUUAAUUGAUUGAAAUCAAAAAAAACAACUCUUAACAACGGAUAUCUUGGCUCUC